GCGCUGCAGCUCGGAGGGCUCUUCUGUCCCAUUCCACACGCUCCCCGGAUGUGCCCGGGAGGCCAGUCAGGAGGAACAUUGCACCUCUGCUAGACAGUCUGCAGCAGGGUCCGCUUCUCUGAGUGUGUGUCCUUACGCAUGGCCUGAAGAUACCAGCAGUGGUCUGGAGGUUUCUCAGCUGGCUAAGGAAUGUAGAUGGACCCGAGCCGCUCUGAGUUACAGCCCUGGGAACUGGAGAGGACAGUAAAUUACUCAGGCUGCCCCUGGCCAGGGACCGGGGUUAGGGUUCGGGUAGUUAGUCCUGCAGCAAGGGGUUGCUUAGUGGCCGAAGAUUGAUGAGGGCUCGGAGGAGCUGGUUAUUCGAUCCGCAGGAAAUGUUUCUGGGCCCGGGUCACAGCAGCCAGCAUUGGAAGCAGCAAAGCAGCCCCUCUGGGGCCCAAGGUGCAGUCCUGUGUGCCAGGGAGAGCAGCGGGGCUCCCGGGAGCCAUGACAAAAGGACGGUGACAGCUAGGCCUCAGGGGCUUGAUGGGGCCGGCUCUGCAUCACCCAGCCUAUCACGGUCUCUCCAGAGAGUGGCCGGCACAAUCAGGGGUCCCCAAAGCCUUUCCACCCACCCGUGUCCUCUCAACAAAUAAAACGCGACAGGUUCUC
This is a long non-coding RNA of Fukomys damarensis (Damara mole-rat), 651 nucleotides long. RefSeq lists it as uncharacterized. The transcript has 3 exons. The record is from RefSeq and is a predicted model, not a curated record. Lineage: Eukaryota; Metazoa; Chordata; Mammalia; Rodentia; Bathyergidae.